Aricia agestis (brown argus) is the source of this 103-nucleotide long non-coding RNA. RefSeq lists it as uncharacterized. Lineage: Eukaryota; Metazoa; Arthropoda; Insecta; Lepidoptera; Lycaenidae. The transcript has 3 exons. The record is from RefSeq and is a predicted model, not a curated record.
CCCCCGCAGACUGCAGACUUUUAGUCGGCCGAUAGUUUGAUCGAAAGCUUAAUCAGUACGAAGAUGUAUGAAGGUGUGCACAAGAAAUGAUUCGUAUCGGCCG